This 466-nucleotide ribosomal RNA is filed under the name uncultured bacterium. RNAcentral describes it as "bacterial SSU rRNA". It matches the Rfam family "Bacterial small subunit ribosomal RNA", at positions 329 to 793 of the family's 1533-position model. The record is from RNAcentral.
GGCCAGACUCCUACGGGAGGCAGCAGUGAGGAAUAUUGGUCAAUGGCCGGAAGGCUGAACCAGCCAAGCCGCGUGAAGGACGAAGGUGCCAAGCAUUGUAAACUUCUUUUGUCAAGGGACAAAAUCAGGCUCGAGAGCCUGACCGAGGGUACUUGAAGAAAAAGCAUCGGCUAACUCCGUGCCAGCAGCCGCGGUAAUACGGAGGAUGCGAGCGUUAUCCGGAUUUAUUGGGUUUAAAGGGUGCGUAGGCGGAAUGCCAAGUCAGCGGUAAAAUCGCGGGGCUCAACCUCGCUCCGCCGUUGAAACUGGCGGGCUGGAGUUGGAGAGAAGUACGCGGAAUGCGCGGUGUAGCGGUGAAAUGCUUAGAUAUCGCGCAGAACCCCGAUUGCGAAGGCAGCGUACCGGCUCCACACUGACGCUGAGGCACGAAAGCGUGGGUAUCGAACAGGAUUAGAUACCCCAGUAC